GUGCACGCUGGCGGUAGGCCUAACACAUGCAAGUCGCACGGCAGCACAGUAAGAGCUUGCUCUUCCGGGUGGCGAGUGGCGGACGGGUGAGGAAUACAUCGGAAUCUACUUUUUCGUGGGGGAUAGCGUAGGGAAACUUACGCUAAUACCGCAUACGACCUACGGGUGAAAGCAGGGGAUCUUCGGACCUUGCGCGAUUGAAUGAGCCGAUGUCGGAUUAGCUAGUUGGCGGGGUAAAGGCCCACCAAGGCGGCGAUCCGUAGCUGGUCUGAGAGGAUGAUCAGCCACACUGGAACUGAGACACGGUCCAGACUCCUACGGGAGGCAGCAGUGGGGAAUAUUGGACAAUGGGCGCAAGCCUGAUCCAGCCAUACCGCGUGGGUGAAGAAGGCCUUCGGGUUGUAAAGCCCUUUUGUUGGGAAAGAAAAGCAGCAGGUUAAUACCCCGCUGUUCUGACGGUACCCAAAGAAUAAGCACCGGCUAACUUCGUG
This 491-nucleotide ribosomal RNA is filed under the name uncultured bacterium. RNAcentral's name for it is "partial 16S ribosomal RNA". It matches the Rfam family "Bacterial small subunit ribosomal RNA", at positions 29 to 507 of the family's 1533-position model. The record is from RNAcentral.